Molecule: ribosomal RNA, 436 nt
Filed under: uncultured bacterium
Lineage: Bacteria
Description: SSU rRNA
Rfam family: Bacterial small subunit ribosomal RNA
Source: RNAcentral
AGAAUGAACGCUAGCGAUAUGCUUAACACAUGCAAGUUGAACGUUGUUUUCGAAUCAGGAUGAGAACAAAGUAGCGAACGGGUGCGUAACACGUGGGAAUCUGCCGAACAGUUUGGGCCAAAUCCCGAAUGAAUAAAAGCUAAAAAGCGCUGUUUGAUGAGCCCACGUAGUAUUAGGUAGUUGGUUAGGUAAAAGCUGACCAAGCCUACGAUGCUUAGCUGGUCUUUUCGGAUGAUCAGCCACACUGGGACUGAGACACGGCCCAGACUCCUACGGGAGGCAGCAGUGGGGAAUCUUGGACAAUGGGCGAAAGCCUGAUCCGGCAAUAUGGCGUGAGUGAAGAAGGGCAACGCAGCUUGUAAAGCUCUUUCAUCGAGUGUGCGAUUGUGACAAGACUCGAAUAAGAAGCCCCGGCUAACUCCGUGCCAGCAGCCGC